RNAcentral lists this ribosomal RNA (194 nucleotides) under Hygrophorus quercetorum. RNAcentral's name for it is "partial 28S ribosomal RNA". It matches the Rfam family "Eukaryotic large subunit ribosomal RNA", at positions 1 to 188 of the family's 3401-position model. The record is from RNAcentral. Lineage: Eukaryota; Fungi; Basidiomycota; Agaricomycetes; Agaricales; Hygrophoraceae.
UGUGAUCUCAAAUCAGGUAGGACUACCCGCUGAACUUAAGCAUAUCAAUAAGCGGAGGAAAAGAAACUAACAAGGAUUCCCCUAGUAACUGCGAGUGAAGCGGGAAAAGCUCAAAUUUAAAAUCUGACAAGUCUUUUGACUGUCCGAGUUGUAAUCUAGAGAAGUGCUUUCCGCGYUGGACUGUGUACAAGUCU